Molecule: unclassified non-coding RNA, 309 nt
Filed under: Hypocreales sp.
Lineage: Eukaryota; Fungi; Ascomycota; Sordariomycetes; Hypocreales
Description: partial contains 5.8S ribosomal RNA, internal transcribed spacer 2, and large subunit ribosomal RNA
Rfam family: 5.8S ribosomal RNA (bases 1-71)
Source: RNAcentral
GUGAAUCAUCGAAUCUUUGAACGCACAUGGCGCUCCCCGGCAUCCCGGGGAGCAUGCCUGUCCGAGCGUCGUUUCAACCCUCGAGCCCCCCGUGGCCCGGCGUUGGGGAUCUACCGCACCGGUAGGCCCCUAAAAUCAGUGGCGGUCCCGCGUGGCCCUCUCCUUUGCGUAGUAGCAUUAGCCUCGCAUUGGGAGCCCUCGGGUUGCUUGCCUCUAAACCCCCCGACAAGCCCGCUCCGGCGGCACAAUGGUUGACCUCGGAUCAGGUAGGACUACCCGCUGAACUUAAGCAUAUCAAUAAGCGGAGGA